This 254-nucleotide ribosomal RNA is filed under the name uncultured bacterium. RNAcentral describes it as "partial 16S ribosomal RNA". It matches the Rfam family "Bacterial small subunit ribosomal RNA", at positions 524 to 777 of the family's 1533-position model. The record is from RNAcentral.
UACGUAGGGACCAAGCGUUGUUCGGAUUUACUGGGCGUAAAGGGCGCGUAGGCGGCUUUGCAAGUCCCAUGUGAAAUCCCACGGCUCAACCGUGGAAGUGCAUGGGAAACUGCAGAGCUUGAGUACUUAAGAGGAUCGCGGAAUUCCCGGUGUAGAGGUGAAAUUCGUAGAUAUCGGGAGGAACACCAGUGGCGAAGGCGGCUCACUGGACCGAGACUGACGCUGAGGCGCGAAAGCGUGGGGAGCAAACAGGG